GGGGCCGUAGCUCAACUGGCAGAGCCACCGGCUCAUAACCGGAAGGUUCCAGGUUCGAGUCCUGGCGGCCCCA
RNAcentral lists this transfer RNA (73 nucleotides) under Coprothermobacter proteolyticus DSM 5265. It matches the Rfam family "tRNA". Rfam says of the family: Transfer RNA (tRNA) molecules are approximately 80 nucleotides in length. Their secondary structure includes four short double-helical elements and three loops (D, anti-codon, and T loops). Lineage: Bacteria; Pseudomonadati; Coprothermobacterota; Coprothermobacteria; Coprothermobacterales; Coprothermobacteraceae. The record is from Rfam by way of RNAcentral.